Molecule: ribosomal RNA, 256 nt
Filed under: uncultured bacterium
Lineage: Bacteria
Description: partial 16S ribosomal RNA
Rfam family: Bacterial small subunit ribosomal RNA
Source: RNAcentral
GACAGAGGGUGCAAACGUUGUUCGGAAUUACUGGGCGUAAAGCGAGUGUAGGCGGUUCGAUAAGUCGGAUGUGAAAGCCCCCGGGCUCAACCCGGGAAGUGCACUCGAUACUGUCGAGCUAGAGUAUCGGAGAGGUUGGUGGAAUUCUCGGUGUAGAGGUGAAAAUUCGUAGAUAUCGAGAGGAACACCGGUGGCGAAGGCGGCCAACUGGACGAAUACUGACGCUGAGACUCGAAAGCGUGGGGGAGCAAACAGG